GAACUGAAGAGUUUGAUCCUGGCUCAGAUUGAACGCUGGCGGCAUGCCUUACACAUGCAAGUCGAACGGUAACGCGGGGCAACCUGGCGACGAGUGGCGAACGGGUGAGUAAUAUAUCGGAACGUGCCCAGUAGUGGGGGAUAGCCCGGCGAAAGCCGGAUUAAUACCGCAUACGACCUACUGGUGAAAGCGGGGGAUCGCAAGACCUCGCGCUAUUGGAGAGGCCGAUAUCAGAUUAGGUAGUUGGUGGGGUAAAAGCCUACCAAGCCAACGAUCUG
RNAcentral lists this ribosomal RNA (278 nucleotides) under Rubrivivax sp. RNAcentral's name for it is "partial 16S ribosomal RNA". It matches the Rfam family "Bacterial small subunit ribosomal RNA", at positions 1 to 283 of the family's 1533-position model. The record is from RNAcentral. Lineage: Bacteria; Pseudomonadati; Pseudomonadota; Betaproteobacteria; Burkholderiales; Sphaerotilaceae.